RNAcentral lists this long non-coding RNA (3075 nucleotides) under Sus scrofa (pig). Its description in RNAcentral is "lncRNA (ENSSSCG00015053977.1)". The record is from RNAcentral. Lineage: Eukaryota; Metazoa; Chordata; Mammalia; Artiodactyla; Suidae.
UUUUUUUUUUUUUUUUUACAAAUUGAAGGUUUAUGGAAACCCUGGCUCCAAGCAAAUCUGUCAGCACUGUUUUUCCAACAGCAUUUGCUCACUGUGUGUCUCUGUCACAUUUUGGUAAUUCUUGCAAUAUUUCAGACUUUUUCAUUAUUAUUAUAUUUGUUCUGAGGAUCUUUGUUGGAUGACCUCUGAUGUUACUACUAUGAUUUGCUGAAGGUUCAAAUGGUGGUUAGCACUUUUUAGCAGUAUUUUAAAGUUAAUGUGUGUACCUUAUUUUUUAGACAAUGGUAUUGCACAUUUAAAAGAUGGCAGUAUAAACAUAACUUUUACAUGCACUGGAAAACAAACAAAAAAAAUCAUGUGACUAGCUUUAUUGCAGUGGUCUGGAACCGAACCCGCAAUCUCUCCAAAGUAUGCCUGUUAUUAAAUGAUUAGUAUACUGUAAUUUGUAUUGGUUAGUUAUUACAAUAUCAGAGAAAUCCUGUUAAUAAUGAAAGCUAGCCAAACAAGUUACAAUGGGGGAACUGGAAAUCCAGGAGACCACGUGGGUCAGUUUGACACCCCACCUCUCUGGAUUUCAGUUUGCCUAUUUGCCAAUCACCGCGGUUCUGUCCCUUUUAAAAGGGUCCCUUCCCUUUCUAAAGACGAAGUGAAAUUCGGGUGAAAAUGCAUACAGUGAGCGCUAGAGGGCAGUAGCUAGUUAAUAAGUAGAGCAAGGAAGACAAAUACAGACAAUGACAGAAACAGGCUUUUCUCCUCUUUCCUCCUUCUCUUCCCCUGGAACCACCCCCCGACCCCCACCCCCGGUUUACACUAAGCUCAUAAAGCUCAUUAAGAGGAAAGCUGGUCUAUUGAAAAUACUACUUUUCAUAUAUUUUCCAACUUAACAGCUUGACACAAAUCUCCAAGGGGUUUACAUAAGCUUUAAGUAGGUUGAAUAAAUAAAACCUUGACUCAAUUUAAUUUAACAAGUAUUUAUUGAAUAUCCAUAUGUAGGCCAGAAUCAGAUUAGUAACUAAGUGCCUUGGAAUUUUUAAAUUUCUCCUCUCUUUGUUAACAGAAUUGGAUAGUGGAAAUAAGGCUUUCUGUGGAUGUUUAUAAGCCCUUCUCCUGGGUCUUCUGUAGCUCUUCAUCCACUCUGCUGCCUGCAGUCUUUCCUUGUAAUGGAGAGCUUUGACUGGGAGCCCAGAUGAGAGACGCUGUGGGCCCAAACUCUGACCAUGACUGUGGAGUUGUAGAUGGAGGAGGACCACGGGUCUGAGAUGUCCUUCCCAGGAGAAAAGGGUAGUGCUUCUCACAACACUCCCUGCUUAUGACUCUGUCACCAUGGGGGUGAGAUGCUGUAUGAGGCAGUACGGGGAAGAAGCCUGCAUCUGCUUCCUUUUAUUUAUUUAUUAUUUUUAGGAUCGCACCCACGGCAUAUGGAGGUUCCCAGGCUAGGGGUCCAAUCAGAGCUACAGCUGCCGGCUUACACCACAGCCACAGCAAUGCCAGAUCUGAGCCACGUCUCCCACUGACGCCACAGCUCCUGGCAACGCCGGAUCCUUAACCCACUGAGCAAGGCCAGGGAUCCAACCUGCAACCUCAUGGUUCCUAGUCAGAUUUGUUUCCAGUAGGCCACAACAGGAACUCCUGCUUCCUUUUAAAUCCCUUUCGUCACAGUGAGGCCUACUCAGCCUUCUAGCCAAGGUGAACUGAAUUAUGAACCUCCUCCUUUGGUUUGUGGGAAGAGAAAAUGACAGCCUAGAACAGGUGAGGAAACUAGGAGGGUCUUCUGGCUCAAAAAUAGCCUCUCUCAGAGUUCCUCUCAUGGUUCAGUGGUAACGAACCUGACUAGUAUUCAUGAGGACGCAGGUUCAAUCCCUGGCCUCGCUCAGUGGGUUAAGGAUUCAGCAUUGCUGUUGCCAUGAGCUGUAUAGUAGGUAGCAGAUGCAGCUCAAAUCUGGCAUUGCUGUGGCUGUGGUGUAGGCUGGCCCCUAGUCUGGGAACUUCCAUAUGCUGUGGGUGCAGCCCUAAAAAGACAAAAGAAAAAAAAAAAGUAUCCUCUCUCUUGGAGUUCCUAUUUGCCACAGUGGCAUCUUGGGAGCGUGGAGAAGUAGGUUCCAUCCUUGCCCGGCACAGUGGGUUAAGGAUCUGACAUUGCUGCAAGCUGCAGCAUAGGUUGCAACUGUGGCUCAGAUGUGAUCCCUGGCCUGGCAACUCCAUAUGCUGCAGGGGGUGCUGAAAAAGAAAAAAAAGAAAUAUAUGUAUCCUCUCUACAUAUUUCACAAACAAGUUCCCCACCUGGGUUAAAAAGCUACUCAAAAAAAAAUAAUGACCCCAGACCCCAGGGGAUUCCUAUUGUGGCUCAAUGGGUUAAAAACCCAACAUUGUUUGUAAGGAUGUGGUUCCACCCUUGGCCUCGCUCAGUGGGUUAAGGAUCUGACGUUGCUGCAAGCUGCAGUGUAGGCCACAGAUGCGGCUUGGAUCCAGUGUUGCUGUGUAGGCCAGCAGCUGCAGCUCCGAUUCUACUCCUAACCUGGAAACUUCCAUAUGCUGCAGGUGCGACCAUAAAAAGAAAAAAAAAAAAAAAAGAAUGACCCCUGAAGGAUGAGGCCUAUGGUUCAUUCACUCUGGAUGAAUCCUGUUACAUUCUUAUUUUUCAAUUACCCCUGGCUUGAGUGAGGCAUCCUUGAAAAUUUUGGUUCCCAGACUGCAAGGGUAACUGUGGAUUCUCCAUGCAACAGCCAGCCCAGCUCUACUUUUGCCUCAUCUCUUAUAGAUUGGAAGUGCCAUAUUCUUUCCCAGCCCUUCUUGCAGUUAAGGAUGGGCCUGUGACCCAGUUCUAGAUGAAAGGAAACCUACUGUCCUUCUAGGAAAGAUUCUCCUCCUUGAUAAGUGAGAACUGCACAAGGAAGAAAGCCUUUAUUUCCCGUUUGGAAUCCUGGUCAUGUGAGGACUUGAUACUUCUUGGAGCUACUGCAGCCUUUCUGCCACCAUGAGGGGAGAAGUCACUGACAAGCCGAAGAUGGCAGAGUAAGAUAUGGGAAGAGUCUGGUCCUUGAUAAGUUGGUUAAGCAGCAUCAGCAACCCUAGAAC